This 497-nucleotide ribosomal RNA is filed under the name uncultured bacterium. RNAcentral's name for it is "partial 16S ribosomal RNA". It matches the Rfam family "Bacterial small subunit ribosomal RNA", at positions 28 to 507 of the family's 1533-position model. The record is from RNAcentral.
GAUGAACGCUGGCGGCGUGCCUAAUACAUGCAAGUCGAGCGAACAGACGAGGAGCUUGCUCCUCUGACGUUAGCGGCGGACGGGUGAGUAACACGUGGAUAACCUACCUAUCAGACUGGGAUAACUUCGGGAAACCGGAGCUAAUACCGGAUAAUAUAUUGAACCGCAUGGUUCAAUAGUGAAAGACGGUUUUGCUGUCACUUAUAGAUGGAUCCGCGCCGCAUUAGCUAGUUGGUAAGGUAACGGCUUACCAAGGCGACGAUGCGUAGCCGACCUGAGAGGGUGAUCGGCCACACUGGAACGGGAACACGGACCAGACUCCUACGGGAGGCAGCAGUAGGGAAUCUUCCGCAAUGGGCGAAAGCCUGACGGAGCAACGCCGCGUGAGUGAUGAAGGUCUUCGGAUCGUAAAACUCUGUUAUUAGGGAAGAACAAAUGUGUAAGUAACUAUGCACGUCUUGACGGUACCUAAUCAGAAAGCCACGGCUAACUACGUG